GGAUUGUGGCUCAGUGGUAGAGUGCUUGCCUAGCGCGGGUGAGGCACUGGGUUUGAUUCUCAGCACCA
Molecule: transfer RNA, 68 nt
Filed under: Marmota monax (woodchuck)
Lineage: Eukaryota; Metazoa; Chordata; Mammalia; Rodentia; Sciuridae
Description: tRNA.Ala
Source: RNAcentral